This 40-nucleotide unclassified non-coding RNA is filed under the name Sorangium cellulosum So ce56. Its description in RNAcentral is "sce_s2m_8". Lineage: Bacteria; Pseudomonadati; Myxococcota; Polyangiales; Polyangiaceae. The record is from RNAcentral.
CACGAGCGCCUCCCCGCCUUCGCUCGAUUUCGAUCGUGCU